Molecule: ribosomal RNA, 433 nt
Filed under: uncultured bacterium
Lineage: Bacteria
Description: partial 16S ribosomal RNA
Rfam family: Bacterial small subunit ribosomal RNA
Source: RNAcentral
AACGAUCGCUGGCGGCAUGCCUAACACAUGCAAGUCGAACGAGACCUUCGGGUCUAGUGGCGCACGGGUGCGUAACGCGUGGGAACCUGCCCUUAGGUUCGGAAUAACUCCCCGAAAGGGGUGCUAAUACCGGAUAAUGUCUUCGGACCAAAGAUUUAUCGCCUUUGGAUGGGCCCGCGUUGGAUUAGCUAGUUGGUAGGGUAAAAGCCUACCAAGGCGACGAUCCAUAGCUGGUCUGAGAGGAAGAUCAGCCACACUGGGACUGAGACACGGCCCAGACUCCUACGGGAGGCAGCAGUGGGGAAUAUUGGACAAUGGGCGAAAGCCUGAUCCAGCAAUGCCGCGUGAGUGAUGAAGGCCUUAGGGUUGUAAAGCUCUUUUACCCGGGAUGAUAAUGACAGUACCGGGAGAAUAAGCUCCGGCUAACUCCGUG